Molecule: long non-coding RNA, 430 nt
Organism: Salvia miltiorrhiza (redroot sage)
Lineage: Eukaryota; Viridiplantae; Streptophyta; Magnoliopsida; Lamiales; Lamiaceae
Exons: 2
Source: RefSeq, a predicted model, not a curated record
UACCCGUCAAUUACCCGUCAAAUAUCCACAAAAAAUUCUAUAAAAUAUGGGCUUUAAAUACAUAUUUUGAGAUUAUGGGCUAGUAUUUUAUAUUUUAAAAUAGGCCCAAACAAUAAGGCCCAAAGUCUAAUAUUGAGCACCGCAGUCGUCUCAAACCAAAGCUAUUAGAAGCAUUAAUGUGCACUCAAAAUUGGCUACGAAAUCAACUUGAAGGUCAAGGAAAGAAUGGAAGCUUUUGGACUUGUCUUGAAGAUGAAGAUGAAGAGUUCAAUUAAGAGGAUUCUAUUUCUACUGUCGAGCAAUUAUAGACAUUGUUCUUUGUUGGAUUUUAUAUUUUAGUUGAUGAAUUUAAACAUUGUUCUUUGUGAAUUUGAAUUUAAACAUUGUUCUUUGUGGAUUUGAACUAUGCUAUUUGUGUUGAUUUUUUUCC